UUUCCGUAGGUGAACCUGCGGAAGGAUCAUUAAAGAGUAAGGGUCUUCGGGCCCGAUCUCCAACCCUUUGUUUAACUACCAUGUUGCUUUGGCGGGCCCGUCUCACGACCGCCGGAAGUUUGGCUUCGACCAAACUUCUGGCCCGUGCCCGUCAGUGGCCCCUUCAAAUUCUUGAUCAAAUAUGAUGUCUUAGUUAAAAACUUAAUAGUUAAAACUUUCAACAACGGAUCUCUUGGUUCUG
RNAcentral lists this unclassified non-coding RNA (241 nucleotides) under plant metagenome. Its description in RNAcentral is "partial contains small subunit ribosomal RNA, internal transcribed spacer 1, and 5.8S ribosomal RNA". The record is from RNAcentral.